GGAUGUACAGGCAAUCUGGCUGCGACAUCUGUCACCCCAUUGAUUGCCAGGGUUGAUUCGGCUGAUAUGGCUGACUAGGCGGGUGUCCCCUUUCUCCCUCACCACUCCAUGUGCGUCCCUCCUGAAGCUGCAUGCUAGAGAGGACCAUCCCUGAUAGAGGAGGACCAUUCUUCAGUCAAGGGUGUACGAGUUGCUGCACUCCCCUGCUAGAACCUCCAAACAAGCUCUCAGGCCUACCAUAUCCAGUGUUUGGAAUGCCAAGUAGUGCUUUAGUGAAUACGCUGUCCAUGGGUAGUUGUG
RNAcentral lists this small nuclear RNA (300 nucleotides) under Castor canadensis (American beaver). Its description in RNAcentral is "7SK RNA (ENSCCNG00000010229.1)". It matches the Rfam family "7SK RNA". Rfam says of the family: 7SK was discovered as an abundant small nuclear RNA in the mid-70s but a possible function has only recently been suggested. Two independent studies have found that 7SK RNA binds the CDK9/cyclin T complex (known as elongation factor P-TEFb). Lineage: Eukaryota; Metazoa; Chordata; Mammalia; Rodentia; Castoridae. The record is from Rfam by way of RNAcentral.